RNAcentral lists this ribosomal RNA (468 nucleotides) under uncultured bacterium. RNAcentral's name for it is "partial 16S ribosomal RNA". It matches the Rfam family "Bacterial small subunit ribosomal RNA", at positions 28 to 507 of the family's 1533-position model. The record is from RNAcentral.
GACGAACGCUGGCGGCGUGCUUAACACAUGCAAGUCGAACGGAAAGGCCCUGCUUUUGUGGGGUGCUCGAGUGGCGAACGGGUGAGUAACACGUGAGUAACCUGCCCUUGACUUUGGGAUAACUUCAGGAAACUGGGGCUAAUACCGGAUAGGAGCUCCUGCUGCAUGGUGGGGGUUGGAAAGUUUCGGCGGUUGGGGAUGGACUCGCGGCUUAUCAGCUUGUUGGUGGGGUAGUGGCUUACCAAGGCUUUGACGGGUAGCCGGCCUGAGAGGGUGACCGGCCACAUUGGGACUGAGAUACGGCGCAGACUCCUACGGGAGGCAGCAGUGGGGAAUAUUGCACAAUGGGCGGAAGCCUGAUGCAGCAACGCCGCGUGCGGGAUGACGGCCUUCGGGUUGUAAACCGCUUUCGACUGUGACGAAGCGUGAGUGACGGUAAUGGGUAAAGAAGCACCGGCUAACUACGUG